AAGAAGAUGGGAAUUUCAAGCGGGAUAGUUGCAAAGAUAAUAUACAUGGAUGCUAAGGAAGGAAGAAUAUGAGGCCGACAUCAGAACAGGAGGAGUAAAAUGCAUUAAGACGUUGAACAUUUUGUUAAUGCAUCAUGGAUAAAGACAUGAGAUUAUUCUUGAGAAAGCGAACGUUCAAGAUGAGAUUAAUAACAAAUUGAAUGAAGAUAAGUGGGAAAAGAAUGGAUCACAGAGAAAAACGUUGCAGCUCAUGGAGACUGCACGAGGAAUUCAACCAAGAACAACACACUGGCUUUUGUCAGAUCUUAAACAGCAACACCAGUACAAAAUGAAGAAAAAGAAAAACAAUAUCUGAGAAUAAUUCCCUUUUCCAAAA
This is a long non-coding RNA of Mytilus californianus (California mussel), 376 nucleotides long. RefSeq lists it as uncharacterized. The transcript has 4 exons. The record is from RefSeq and is a predicted model, not a curated record. NCBI's taxonomy places the organism in Eukaryota, Metazoa, Mollusca, Bivalvia, Mytilida, Mytilidae.